CCAUUGCUCAGUUGGUAGAGUACAAGGCUCUUAACCUUGUGGGCGUGGAUUCAAGCCCCAUGAUGGG
RNAcentral lists this transfer RNA (67 nucleotides) under Triticum aestivum (bread wheat). It matches the Rfam family "tRNA". From Rfam's summary of the family: Transfer RNA (tRNA) molecules are approximately 80 nucleotides in length. Their secondary structure includes four short double-helical elements and three loops (D, anti-codon, and T loops). The record is from Rfam by way of RNAcentral. RNAcentral also lists the same sequence under 1 other name. Lineage: Eukaryota; Viridiplantae; Streptophyta; Magnoliopsida; Poales; Poaceae.